GAUGAACGCUGGCGGCGCGCUUAACACAUGCAAGUCGAACGGAAAGGCCCAAGCUUGCUUGGGUACUCGAGUGGCGAACGGGUGAGUAACACGUGGGUGAUCUGCCCUGCACUUCGGGAUAAGCCUGGGAAACUGGGUCUAAUACCGGAUAGGACGAUGGUUUGGAUGCCAUUGUGGAAAGUUUUUUCGGUGUGGGAUGAGCUCGCGGCCUAUCAGCUUGUUGGUGGGGUAAUGGCCUACCAAGGCGUCGACGGGUAGCCGGCCUGAGAGGGUGUACGGCCACAUUGGGACUGAGAUACGGCCCAGACUCCUACGGGAGGCAGCAGUGGGGAAUAUUGCACAAUGGGCGCAAGCCUGAUGCAGCGACGCCGCGUGGGGGAUGACGGCCUUCGGGUUGUAAACUCCUUUCGCUAGGGACGAAGCGUUUUUGUGACGGUACCUGGAGAAGAAGCACCGGCUAACUACGUG
This 468-nucleotide ribosomal RNA is filed under the name uncultured bacterium. RNAcentral describes it as "partial 16S ribosomal RNA". It matches the Rfam family "Bacterial small subunit ribosomal RNA", at positions 28 to 507 of the family's 1533-position model. The record is from RNAcentral.